Molecule: ribosomal RNA, 480 nt
Filed under: uncultured bacterium
Lineage: Bacteria
Description: bacterial SSU rRNA
Rfam family: Bacterial small subunit ribosomal RNA
Source: RNAcentral
CCUACGGGAGGCAGCAGUAGGGAAUCUUCCGCAAUGGACGCAAGUCUGACGGAGCAACGCCGCGUGAGCGAUGAAGGCCUUCGGGUCGUAAAGCUCUGUUGUCAGGGAAGAACAAGUACCGGAGUAACUGCCGGUACCUUGACGGUACCUGACCAGAAAGCCACGGCUAACUACGUGCCAGCAGCCGCGGUAAUACGUAGGUGGCAAGCGUUGUCCGGAAUUAUUGGGCGUAAAGCGCGCGCAGGCGGUCCCUUAAGUCUGAUGUGAAAGCCCCCGGCUUAACCGGGGAGGGUCAUUGGAAACUGGGGGACUUGAGUGCAGAAGAGAAGAGCGGAAUUCCACGUGUAGCGGUGAAAUGCGUAGAGAUGUGGAGGAACACCAGUGGCGAAGGCGGCUCUUUGGUCUGUAACUGACGCUGAGGCGCGAAAGCGUGGGGAGCAAACAGGAUUAGAUACCCUGGUAGUCCACGCCGUAAACGAU